CAGAUUCUUGGAAAAUGUCUACACUAUGUAGCAGGGGUGCAUAACUCAGCUGUAUUUCAGUGAAGCCGGAAUCUCUAGCGCCAUGAAGAGAGCAGGCAGACGGAUGGCUCAGUAAGUAGCCUCUGCAGCACAGUGGAGCCAGCGGGAUUUCUGUCACCAGCAUCGCGAGCUGCAAUGUAUUCUCCAGGAUGAAAGCUGCCCAAAAUGAAGCAAAGAGACUAGGGACCAACCUCAACAAAUUUGCAGUAAAUAUUACAAUCAACAGGUGCAUACACUCAAUAUGUACAAUUCCUGGAGAGUGACAUGAAGCCAGCAAAGGACCUUAAAGGAUAAGAAGGUCACAGAAGCCAAGCCAGCAGUGGACACACUCAUGGAAACCAAUCAACAUCCAAAUUAGUAAGGGUCGGGGGCUGCGGUAACGAAGAGACCCAGUAACACAGAGGCUGGAGUCAGCAAGUCUCUCGUCUGUCUCAGGUUCCCCAGAGACGCAGAGCCAAUGAGAAGACAGGCAGACAGGUAGAUGGAUAUAGAGAUACAGACGUACAGGUGUGGAUGUGGUCCCAACUUCAUGGUGGUAGUACCUACAAUUUUCCAACUGAAGGACGGUGCCUGAAUUUCUUCUUCUUUUUCUCUUUUGGGAAUCAAACUCAGGGCCUCGCGCUUGCCUGGCAGAUGUUGCACCGCUGAGCUGCAUCCCUGGCCCCUGAAUUUUUUUUUUUUUUUUAGUACCGGGGAUCAAACUUGGGACCUUGUGCUUGCGAGGCAGGUGGUGGAACCACUGAGCUAAAUCCCCAGCCCUGGCCCCUAAAUUUCUACAUUCAGUAGAAACCAAACUUUGAAUCUUGAUCUCUCCAGGGCUGGCGAUCUUCAGUGCAACCCUUUGGUGGUGCUGAGUGGUGAUGGUGAGUCACAGCUGUCCAUCACAAGGGGCAACCAGCACUGCAGUGUGUCGUGUUGCUGAGAUGCUCACCCAGCUAGGUGAAUCAUGUGCAUUUUUAACUUAAGACAUUUUCAAGUUGCAAUGGGUGAAUUGGUUUACAAUCCCACUGUAAAUCAAGGAACAUGUGUUUUCAAAAGAUAAAGAGUUCUCUUCCUUAUUUGCAGUAUUGUACAAAAUGUUUGGUUAAUUAAAACCACAAAAUGAUACAGGAUCUUUGAGGAUGGUGAAAAUAAUUCUAAGUCUUGAGCCUUGAGCUUUUCCUUAGGGUGCUGAUCCAGCAUGGCUGGAGUGCUGCCACAGCCUGAUCUUAGGGGUCUUGGAGCAGACGCCCCCACUCUGCAUGGACCCAACACAGAAGCAGUUCCUACUGCAGGGCUCCUCACACUCUUGAUGAGGACUUGGCCACAGGGCCGGCUGGAAACUGCAGUCCACUCAGCAGCCUUUGCUUAGCUCCAGAUCUGUUAUCCUGCAAGGGCAAAAUGGAUUUUAUUUGAAGUAAGCGGAUCUCCACCCCCACCUCCCUAGUGAAAAGC
This 1473-nucleotide long non-coding RNA is filed under the name Heterocephalus glaber (naked mole-rat). Its description in RNAcentral is "lncRNA (ENSHGLG00000033121.1)". Lineage: Eukaryota; Metazoa; Chordata; Mammalia; Rodentia; Bathyergidae. The record is from RNAcentral.